CCCCUCCCCGUUCCUCCUUCCUUUUGGGCUUAGCGGCCAUGCCUCCCCUCACGAGCGCCCUGCUCUCCCGCUCCACCACCGGCUCCUCCCCCCGCGUCUCGGCCGCGGCGGCAGCAGCGAUCUCCAGGCCCGCCACCCCGUCGUCCUCGGCUCCCCCUUCCCGCCCGACCCCGAGCCCGCGCCCCAGCCCGGCGUCGCCGUUCGCGUCCGGCCUCGCGGGCCGCCUCUUCGGCGGCCACCGCGCAGCCGCCCGGUCCGCAUCGUCUGCGGCCGCCGUCUUCGAGCGCCGGUUCGCCUCCGCGGGUACGGACUCCGACGACGUGGAUGGGCUAACUGGGUCAAAUUAUUGCAUCUCUCUAAUUGAGUCUCUGUCUCGACUUGUGUUUUUUCCCCUCUCCAGCGACAAAAAACUCUUACGAUGAAAUCCUGACGGGCCUCGGGAAGCCAGGAGGCGGUGAGGAGUUUGGGAAGUACUACAGUCUGCCUGCGCUCUCUGAUCCGCGGAUUGGUGAGUCCGUUGUGUUGCUCUGGUACUCAAUUUUGGCGUGACUUGUUUAAUUGGUAGUGGUGAUGUGGUUUGAUCCUGAGUUUCUGUUGGCGAAUUCAAAUUUAUGAGGUUUGUCUCCUCCGAUCUGUCUUCUUCGCUCAGUUUUGCGUAAUGUGUUUUCGUGUAUGAAUUGAUGGGUCCAGUACUCCAGUUCGGAAGCCCAGAGUGCCCGAUCUGAUCUAAUGCUGGUUGUGCAUGAUUCUGUUGGUGAAACAUGGAAGCCUUGAUGUGCAAAUUGUCUGAAUGGUGAUACCAAUAUAGCUGUAGAAUGUACCACUGUUUGGCUUUUUUAGGUUUUUAUUAUCUCUCCUUUUAUCCUUUUCCCCCCUGAAAGUACUGCUGAUCUGACCCAUGUAUUUGGUUCUUCCUGUCAGAUCGGCUCCCCUACUCUAUAAGGAUUCUUCUCGAGUCGGCAAUCAGAAACUGUGAUGAGUUCCAGGUCACUGGUAAGGAUGUCGAGAAGAUCUUGGAUUGGGAGAACAGCGCAUCAAAGCAAGUUGAAAUCCCAUUCAAGCCAGCCCGUGUUCUUCUCCAGGUACUGAUUUCAACAGUUCCUUUUUUAUAUAUAUGUCCAACUUCUGUGCAUAGAAUAAGUGUGAGCUGGAAAUAUUCCCGUCAAUAGCUUUUGAUUACAGGAAUCUUGCUAUUGGAACUCCACUUUCUUAUCCUAUCGAGAAAGUGGAGUUCCUUGCCCAUUAGCCAAUUGUCUGGUGUUUGAUUGGUACCAUUCGUUGACUUUUUGAGCUGUUUAAUGAUAGACACCGACAUCAGAGCGUUUAGGUGGCAGAAUAAAAGCUAUCUGCAUUGACUGUUCUCAUAACAGUGAUAAAAACUUAACCAUAGCAAGUGCUAUAUAAAGCUGGACGCAUUGCUUAUUUUAGUAUAAUAUUUUCAAAUAAGGUAUAUAGCUGAUGAAUAUUUGCUCUGUGUUCUGAACUAUUAUUAAUUGACUGAUGACUAUCUUUCCCUCCCUACCUCUUGGUUAAAUUACAGGAUUUUACUGGUGUCCCGGCAGUUGUUGAUCUUGCAUGCAUGAGGGAUGCUGUGAGCAAACUUGGCAGCGACCCAAACAAAAUUAAUCCUCUGGUGAGUUCAGUGUAAUGCAAUUCAUUAUCUCUGGUGUUUUUUAUGUAUCUUAUUGCCAUUUGUGCAUUUCUGCCAACCAUACUUCAUUAUACCAUCAACUUGCACGGUAUCUAUAUUUUAAACUCCCAUUAUGAACAUUACCUGUUCUGUUCAUUAUGUAGUGCUUGUUGUUAUUUAAGAAACAUUGCCAUCGCAACCAACAACAGUUGGUGUCACCUUCUCUAAUAGAAAAUUGUAUACAUUAUGGUUGCAAUACAUACCGUAUCUAAUGCAUGUACAUCAUAGGUCAGUCUUUAUUUUUUUAAUUGUUUGUCCAAAUGUAACUCUGUGAUCUUGAAGUUUGAUGUUAGGGCCAAGCAUAUUAUUGCUUUAUAUGGUACUUCAAAGUCUGGCAUAAACUUUGCUAGUUGCAUUUUUCUUUUGAAUUGAAUAUAUUCAUCUUUUGAGUCCGGAAUCUUGAAAGUAAUCAUGUGGAGCCUUUUUCCCUUACUGUUAAUUUAUUUCCUGUAGCUUUUACCUUAACUCAAUCCUUUUACCCUCCAGUUAACUUUUGGUCGCUAAUGCUGCCUUUUUUCAUUCAUCUCUAUAUUGUACAGAAUAUAGAUACUGCAAAUUGAUGCUGGUGCCAUUUUUCUGCUGAUAUGUAAAUAUGUAUGUUUGCAGGUUCCUGUAGACCUUGUUAUUGAUCAUUCAGUACAAGUCGAUGUUGCAAGAUCACAAAAUGCUGUUCAGGCAAAUAUGGAGCUUGAGUUCCAUCGUAACAAGGAACGGUUUGGAUUCUUGAAAUGGGGUUCCUCUGCAUUCCGUAACAUGCUUGUUGUUCCACCUGGGUCUGGAAUUGUCCACCAGGUAAUUUUGUGAUGUCAUCAUUUUGAUAUAACUUUUAUCCUGGCCAAGUUGGCUUUGUUGAUUCGAACUCUUAACCCUCCAUUUGACCUUUUCAGGUCAAUCUUGAGUACCUGGCCAGGGUUGUGUUCAACAAUGGUGGGAUCCUUUACCCUGACAGCGUUGUAGGAACUGACUCUCACACAACUAUGAUUGAUGGUCUCGGUGUUGCUGGAUGGGGAGUUGGUGGCAUAGAGGCAGAAGCUGCAAUGCUUGGCCAGGUGAAGUACAUUUUGAUAUCCAAAAACUCUGUUUCAGAUACCAUUGAACCUUGUUUGAGCCUUGGCAGCGUUAUGUACAAGUACAUUUUCUCUUUGACUGCCAUCUGCUUUGGCAACUUACAUAUUGAAUUUGGCUUCUAUCUGCAGCCAAUGAGCAUGGUCUUGCCAGGUGUUGUUGGUUUCAAGCUAUCAGGCAAGCUGAGGAAUGGAGUUACAGCAACAGAUUUGGUUCUAACAGUAACUCAAAUGCUUCGUAAACAUGGGGUUGUUGGAAAAUUUGUUGAGUUCUACGGUAAUCAUAAUGCCUUUAAUUUUAAUCGAGGCCUUCCUUUACAACAGCUUCAAUGAUGGGCUUCUCUAAUGUAAUAUAUCUGAAACCUGUAAAACUUCAGGGCAAGGUAUGAGUGAAUUGUCACUUGCUGAUCGGGCCACCAUUGCAAACAUGUCACCAGAAUAUGGUGCAACUAUGGGUUUCUUCCCAGUUGAUGGAAAGACACUGGACUAUUUGAGGCUUACCGGCAGAAGUGAUGAUACAGUAAGCUAUUAAUGGCAAUUGUAAUUUUUUGUCUUUAUCUGCAUUGAUGGUAAGACACUAGACUAAUUUUUGUUUCAUAUUUUAGGUGGCCAUGGUAGAAUCCUAUCUGCGUGCUAAUAAGAUGUUCGUCGACCACAACCAGGUGAUUGUUUUUCAUUUGUUGAGCACAAGCAGAUAGUUUGGCGUAUGCUUAGUGCCUUUGUUUUAUUGACACAUUGUCUCGGAUGUAGGUUGAAGCUGAAAGAGUGUAUUCUUCUUAUCUAGAACUUAACCUUGAAGAGGUUGAACCAUGUCUAUCAGGACCAAAACGGUAAUGUACUUGAUUAAAGUGCUAUUAAUAUAUCUUUGUACUCAUUUGAUAAUAUAUUUGUUGUUCCUUUUUGAACAGGCCUCAUGAUCGAGUGACAUUGAAGAACAUGAAGUCGGAUUGGCAUUCUUGCUUAGACAACGAUGUAGGGUUUAAGGUAAGGAUUUCCUCUAUGGAUUGCAAUAACUAUACUUAUUUGUGUAUGCUCCACCAGCCACUUAUUUUAUCAAUUGAUAUCUAGUACACUAGAGUUGUUCAAUAUUUGUCUCAUCGCAGUGAAUUAGGAUACAGGUCCAAACAGUUUUAUGCUUGAUAUUGUUGUGUACUUUGUUUGCCAUUCCCCUCAUCUUAUUCUCACUGCAACCGUAUUUCAGGGAUUUGCUGUCCCCAAAGAAUCACAGAGCAAAGUUGCAGAAUUUUCAUUCCACGGGGCUCCUGCAAAGAUAAAGCAUGGUGAUGUUGUAAUUGCGGCUAUAACUAGUUGCACCAACACAUCAAAUCCUAAUGUAAUGCUUGGAGCUGCUUUGGUUGCGAAAAAGGCUUGUGAAUUAGGCUUGGAGGUUCGGUUCUGAACGACAUCUUGCAUCUUGCUUUUUAACCCUUUUUUUAACAAAAUUAUUUCCCUAUUUAUUACCCUGUCUGACUAGGUUCGCACUGCUUCAAAUCAAAAGACCUGUUUGGUUUAUACCUUACUGAGUUCCGUGCUAAAUAUUCUCUGGCUAUUGUUCCAAAUGAUUUUUUUAAACUUUCUAUUAUGAUAAUGAAAUUAGUUCAAUGCUGCAUUUCUAUGUUUUCUAUGAAUACCAUCAUUUAGUUUAACACUGGUUCAUGUCAAUCAGGUAAAGCCAUGGAUUAAGACAAGUCUUGCACCUGGUUCUGGUGUUGUGAAGAAGUACUUGGAUAAGAGGUAAGUCUUGGUUCCAUGAGCUCAAAUGCCUACCUUGUACUGCCAGCCUUUGUAAUUCUUGCUUUGUUUCCCCUUUGGCAGUGGUCUGCAGAAAUACCUUGAUCAGCUAGGCUUCCAUAUUGUUGGCUAUGGUUGCACAACCUGCAUUGGAAAUUCCGGAGAUCUUGAUGAAUCUGUGUCUGCUGCAAUUUCUGAGAAUGGUGAUCCUGACAACAUUCGAUAGUUAAAAGUGCAAAGUUAUGGAAUAGAGCAUAUUGCUUAUCUUCCCCCUUUCUUUGUAGAUAUUGUUGCUGCUGCUGUCUUGUCCGGUAACAGGAAUUUUGAAGGACGUGUCCACCCAUUAACCAGAGCAAAUUACCUUGCUUCUCCUCCACUAGUUGUGGCUUAUGCCUUGGCUGGCACGGUAAGUGGGUGGGCCCGCUUCUAGUUUGCAACAAAAUGAAUAAAUAAAUGUUUCUUAUUCUGUUAUGAGUUUCUAGCUAUCCUACACAUUUUUACAGGAAGUCCAUUCUUCACUGAUAAACAAAAAUACUGUUAUAGUACAAUUAAUCCAAUUUAUGUAGUUGAAACAAACCAUCAGUGGUACUCCCUGUGUUUUAUUGCUUCAUUUACCGGCUAUUAUUUUAUGCUCACAUGAUUCGUUGCCAUGAAGUUAGUUUCAGUUACUGUGUUCAAACUUCUAUGUGAUUUUUUGUUGUCUUCUUUUUUUGAUGAAUUUUUACUUCUGCUUAGGUUAAUAUUGAUUUUGAGAAAGAACCUAUCGGCAUCUCGAAAGAUGGCAAAGAGGUUUACUUCAGGGACAUUUGGCCUUCCACAGAAGAGAUAUCCGAGGUCAGCAUGCAGCACAGAAACUUUGAUUAUAUUUCAUUGCCUCAACUCACUUUACUUGCGGUAUGAAACCUUGUACUUUCAUUACAUGCUUUUUAUGCUUGUCAUUUUAAUUGCUAGGUUGUCAAGACCAGUGUGCUCCCUGACAUGUUCAAGAGCACAUAUGAGGCGAUCACAAAAGGAAAUCCUAUGUGGAAUGAGCUAUCAGUGUCAGCAAGCACUCUCUACCCAUGGGAUCCAUCAUCUACGUACAUCCAUGAGCCUCCUUAUUUCAAGGAUAUGACAAUGACCCCUCCUGGCCCUCGACCCGUGAAGGAUGCAUAUUGCCUUCUGAACUUUGGUGACAGUAUCACAACUGAUCACAUCUCCCCUGCUGGAAGCAUUCACCCAGAUAGCCCAGCUGCAAAAUAUCUGAAGGAGCGUGGUGUUGAAAGGAAGGACUUCAACUCGUAUGGUAGUCGACGUGGAAAUGAUGAGAUCAUGGCCAGGGGAACUUUUGCCAACAUUCGCCUUGUGAACAAGUUCCUGAAGGGUGAGGUUGGACCAAAAACAAUCCACAUUCCAUCUGGGGAGAAGCUUGCUGUUUUUGAUGCUGCUAUGGUAAUAUAAUUCUAAUCAAUACCAUGUAGUUCAGUGAUACAUGAUAUGUGGCACCAGCGUUCAUUAUUUAUAUUGAUCCAUUCUUUUUUGUUUACUGGCACAGAAAUACAAGAAUGAAGGGCAUGACACUAUAAUCCUGGCUGGCGCCGAGUAUGGUAGUGGAAGCUCUCGGGAUUGGGCUGCAAAGGGCCCAAUGCUUCAGGUAAGUAGUUUCCACUAUUUUCUUCAACUAUGCUGUUAACAAACCUAACUGUGUCACUUAUGGUGACAUAUGUUCACUUGAUGGCUGCAGGGAGUCAAGGCUGUGAUAGCAAAGAGCUUUGAGAGGAUCCAUCGUAGCAAUCUUGCUGGCAUGGGAAUCAUCCCUCUUUGCUUCAAGGCAGGGGAGGAUGCAGACACCCUUGGGUUAACUGGCCAUGAGCGCUACACGAUCCACCUUCCAACCAAUGUGAGUGAAAUCAAGCCUGGACAAGAUGUUACCGUGACAACUGAUACUGGGAAGUCUUUCACUUGCACACUCAGAUUUGACACUGAGGUACGAUUUUUCUCCUGUGCGUUACUUGCUGACGCUGAUUAAAUAAACUGGUAUGCUGAUGUUGUAUUUUUUAUUAACGAUUCAACGUUCAGGUGG
RNAcentral lists this long non-coding RNA (6547 nucleotides) under Setaria viridis. RNAcentral's name for it is "long non-coding RNA (SVIR_LNC011460)". The record is from RNAcentral. Lineage: Eukaryota; Viridiplantae; Streptophyta; Magnoliopsida; Poales; Poaceae.